UACGGAGGGUGCAAGCAUUAAUCGGAAUUAUUGGGCGUAAAGGGCGCGUAGGCGGAUAUAUAAGUCAGAUGUGAAAUUCCGAGGCUCAACUUCGGAGCUGCAUUUGAAACUAUAAAUCUCGAGGAUUGGCGGAGAGAAUGGAAUUCCACGUGUAGCGGUGAAAUGCGUAGAUAUGUGGAAGAACACCGGUGGCGAAAGCGGUUCUCUAGCUUAUUCCUGACGCUGAGGCGCGAGAGCAAGGGGAGCAAACAGG
This 253-nucleotide ribosomal RNA is filed under the name uncultured bacterium. Its description in RNAcentral is "partial 16S ribosomal RNA". It matches the Rfam family "Bacterial small subunit ribosomal RNA", at positions 524 to 776 of the family's 1533-position model. The record is from RNAcentral.